Hypomesus transpacificus is the source of this 239-nucleotide long non-coding RNA. RefSeq lists it as uncharacterized. Lineage: Eukaryota; Metazoa; Chordata; Actinopteri; Osmeriformes; Osmeridae. The transcript is spliced from 3 exons. The record is from RefSeq and is a predicted model, not a curated record.
GUCUUUCCUCUGGUCUUCUUCAAUCUGAGGAACAGAGACAGAGGGACAGUAGAGGACAGAUGGACACAGUGGAGCACAGUUACAGGUGGAUGACCUGUGGAUCUGACCUUGAGAGACACCAGACUACGUUCAUUUUGGUCCAGUAGAGAAAUCAGAAGAUGAAGGCGAUGGAAGCCACCACUACCACAGUGACCGCCAGAAUGAUCAUGAUGAUGUCUUGCAGCUUGAGAUCUAAAUAG